AUACGUAGGGGGCGAGCGUUGUCCGGAAUGAUUGGGCGUAAAGGGCGCGUAGGCGGCCCGGUAAGUCUGGAGUGAAAGUCCUGUUUUUAAGAUGGGAAUUGCUUUGGAUACUGUCGGGCUUGAGUGCAGGAGAGGUAAGUGGAAUUCCCAGUGUAGCGGUGAAAUGCGUAGAGAUUGGGAGGAACACCAGUGGCGAAGGCGGCUUACUGGGCCGUAACUGACGCUGAGGCGCGAAAGCGUGGGGAGCGAACAGGAUUAGAUACCCUGGUAGUCCACGCGGUAAACGAUGAAUGCUAGGUGUUGCGGGUAUCGACCCCUGCAGUGCCGGAGUAAACACAAUAAGCAUUCCGCCUGGGGAGUACGGCCGCAAGGUUGAAACUCAAAUGAAUUGGCGGGG
RNAcentral lists this ribosomal RNA (397 nucleotides) under uncultured bacterium. RNAcentral's name for it is "partial 16S ribosomal RNA". It matches the Rfam family "Bacterial small subunit ribosomal RNA", at positions 523 to 918 of the family's 1533-position model. The record is from RNAcentral.